RNAcentral lists this ribosomal RNA (596 nucleotides) under Acestrorhynchus cf. nasutus LBP7035-34110. RNAcentral describes it as "partial 16S large subunit ribosomal RNA". It matches the Rfam family "Bacterial large subunit ribosomal RNA", at positions 1808 to 2609 of the family's 2925-position model. The record is from RNAcentral. Lineage: Eukaryota; Metazoa; Chordata; Actinopteri; Characiformes; Acestrorhynchidae.
CAAAAACAUCGCCUCCCGCAAAAAUCAAAAUAUAGGAGGUCUUACCUGCCCAGUGACAACAUGUUUAACGGCCGCGGUAUACUGACCGUGCUAAGGUAGCGCAAUCACUUGUCUUUUAAAUGAGGACCUGUAUGAAUGGUGAAACGAGGGCUUAACUGUCUCCCUUUUCAGGUCAAUGAAAUUGAUCUGUCCGUGCAGAAGCGGACAUUAUACUACAAGACGAGAAGACCCUUUGGAGCUUUAGGUAUAAAGUUACUUGCAUUCUUAAACUCAAACAAAAGAACUCAAAUAAAGCAAUAUUAACUUCCAAGCCUUCGGUUGGGGCGACCGUGGGAGAUAAUAGAGCUCCCAUGAGGACCAGGAUAUUUCCCAGAACUAAGAGGGACACCUCUAAGUCACAGAACAUCUGACCUAACAGAUCCGGCAAACAAGCCGAUUAACGGACCAAGUUACCCUAGGGAUAACAGCGCAAUCCUCUUUGAGAGUUCUUAUCGACAAGGGGGUUUACGACCUCGAUGUUGGAUCAGGACAUCCUAAUGGUGCAGCCGCUAUUAAGGGUUCGUUUGUUCAACGAUUAAAGUCCUACGUGAUCUGAG